AGUGGAUUAGCUGGGUCAAAUGGUCAUUCCAUUCCAAUUUUUCUGAGGAAUCUCCACACUGCUUUCCAGAGUGGUUGCACCAAUUUGCAGUUCAACUAGCAAU
This 103-nucleotide microRNA precursor is filed under the name Marmota monax (woodchuck). The record is from RNAcentral. Lineage: Eukaryota; Metazoa; Chordata; Mammalia; Rodentia; Sciuridae.